UUAACUCAAAUUUGUAUGCAGUUGGAACAGCGCCCCUAGCGGCAAACGUAGGCAAACGUUCCAAUUCCAUACAAAUUUGAGCUC
RNAcentral lists this microRNA precursor (84 nucleotides) under Bombyx mori (domestic silkworm). RNAcentral's name for it is "mir-2807 microRNA precursor family". It matches the Rfam family "mir-2807 microRNA precursor family". Lineage: Eukaryota; Metazoa; Arthropoda; Insecta; Lepidoptera; Bombycidae. The record is from Rfam by way of RNAcentral.